AACAUGUGCGCGAGUCAUUGGGACUUGUUUAUAAUAAGCCUAAAGGCGCAAUGAAAGUGAAGGUCCGCUUUGAUGCGCGACCGACGGAGGAUGGCCGUUUGGUUUUUUAUUAAAUUAGACGGCCCGCACUCCCGGGGCGUCUCGCGCUCAUCGCGAGCUGAGGCGCACCCAGAGCGUACACGUUGGGACCCGAAAGAUGGUGAACUAUGCCUGGUCAGGACGAAGUCAGGGGAAACCCUGAUGGAGGUCCGUAGCGAUUCUGACGUGCAAAUCGAUCGUCGGAACUGGGUAUAGGGGCGAAAGACUAAUCGAACCAUC
Molecule: ribosomal RNA, 318 nt
Filed under: Megaphragma longiciliatum
Lineage: Eukaryota; Metazoa; Arthropoda; Insecta; Hymenoptera; Trichogrammatidae
Description: partial large subunit ribosomal RNA
Rfam family: Eukaryotic large subunit ribosomal RNA
Source: RNAcentral